AGAUUGAACGCUGGCGGCAGGCCUAACACAUGCAAGUCGAGCGGCAGCACGGGUACUUGUACCUGGUGGCGAGCGGCGGACGGGUGAGUAAUGCCUAGGAAUCUGCCUGGUAGUGGGGGAUAACGCUCGGAAACGGACGCUAAUACCGCAUACGUCCUACGGGAGAAAGCAGGGGACCUUCGGGCCUUGCGCUAUCAGAUGAGCCUAGGUCGGAUUAGCUAGUUGGUGGGUAAUGGCUCACCAAGGCGACGAUCCGUAACUGGUCUGAGAGGAUGAUCAGUCACACUGGAACUGAGACACGGUCCAGACUCCUACGGGAGGCAGCAGUGGGGAAUAGUUGGACAAUGGGCGAAAGCCUGAUCCAGCCAUGCCGCGUGUGUGAAGAAGGUCUUCGGAUUGUAAAGCACGUUUAAGUUGGAGGAAGGCAGUUACCUAAUACGUAUCUGUUUUGACGUUACCGACAGAAUAAGCACCGGCUAACGUCCGCGCCAGCACG
RNAcentral lists this ribosomal RNA (496 nucleotides) under uncultured soil bacterium. RNAcentral describes it as "bacterial SSU rRNA". It matches the Rfam family "Bacterial small subunit ribosomal RNA", at positions 26 to 515 of the family's 1533-position model. The record is from RNAcentral.